CCUACCGGCUUACCAACGGAAAUCAAACUCCGAAUACCAAAAGUGAGUUCGGGAGAUAGACAGCGGGGGCUAAGCUUCGUUGUCGAGAGGGGAACAGCCCAGACCGCCGAUUAAGGUCCCUAAUUUUAUGCUAAGUGAGUAAGGAAGUGAUGAUUCUAAGACAGUUGGAAUGUUGGCUUAGAGGCAGCAAUCAUUUAAAGAGUGCGUAACAGCUCACCAAUCGRGAAUCAUUGCGCCC
This 238-nucleotide ribosomal RNA is filed under the name uncultured Chlamydia sp. RNAcentral describes it as "partial 23S ribosomal RNA". Lineage: Bacteria; Pseudomonadati; Chlamydiota; Chlamydiia; Chlamydiales; Chlamydiaceae. The record is from RNAcentral.